Molecule: non-coding RNA, 545 nt
Organism: Gasterosteus aculeatus aculeatus (three-spined stickleback)
Lineage: Eukaryota; Metazoa; Chordata; Actinopteri; Perciformes; Gasterosteidae
Source: RefSeq, a predicted model, not a curated record
UUCAACGUAACAUUUCUUGUGGUGGUCGUUUGUUUCAGAUUAUGAAGCUAUUGUGAAGCUGUCAGACGGUUUCAACGGCGCUGAUCUGAGGAAUGUGUGCACAGAAGCAGGUUUGUUUGCUAUCCGCGCUGACAGAGAGUACGUCACUCAAGAGGACUUCAUGAAAGCCGUGCGGAAGGUGGCGGAUUCCAAGAAGCUUGAAUCCAAGCUGGACUACAAGCCUGUAUGAAUCAAAUGUCAUUGGCCUUUUCCCAUAUUUUCAUUGAUUUGCUGUGUUUGUUCUCCAGGUUACCAAUUUAGUGAUUUUUACUGAGUAACCCCUGUUUUGCCUUUAAUUAGUACAUAAGAAUUAGCUCAUAAAGGCUGAUCAUUCUCCCAUCUCACAGAACAUCUGUUAAAAGAAACUUGUACUAAAAAUACACUGUUAUAUGGGAAAGUCCUUGUUUUUUAUUCUUUGAUCUCAUUGCCAUAAAGUGAGUGUGAUGGAUAUUCAGCAACCCACUGACUGCAUUUUGCAAAACCCAUUAAAGGUAAACAUUACACAA